This is a long non-coding RNA of Mobula hypostoma (lesser devil ray), 383 nucleotides long. RefSeq lists it as uncharacterized. The transcript is spliced from 3 exons. NCBI's taxonomy places the organism in Eukaryota, Metazoa, Chordata, Chondrichthyes, Myliobatiformes, Myliobatidae. The record is from RefSeq and is a predicted model, not a curated record.
UAAGAAGCAGAGCUGAAGAACAAAUGGAACAUUCAGACUGAGCUUGGAGUGCUGAAAUUGUUGUGUGAAAGGAAGAGUGCAAGGCAACACGGACAUUGGCGCAGAUGGGCAACAUCUUGAACACAUUUGCUGGUGCAGAUUCCGAAUCUUCCCUUUGGGAAGUAAUUGGGAUUGAACUGGACCCAGAAGAUCUGUCGACUUAUUGCUUUGAACCUGAAUGGAGAACAUGCAACCAAAAGUACACAAUUCCUUUUACAGCAGAAACCAGAAAGUUGCGAUAUGCAAAUAAAGAUCGAAUUUCUACCAUGGGAAAUAUUGCCAGGAUUUCUAGAAUGCCAGCUAGACGUUUGAGGAGAAUGAUGUCUUUUAAACAAUGUACAACA